This 253-nucleotide ribosomal RNA is filed under the name uncultured bacterium. Its description in RNAcentral is "partial 16S ribosomal RNA". It matches the Rfam family "Bacterial small subunit ribosomal RNA", at positions 524 to 776 of the family's 1533-position model. The record is from RNAcentral.
UACGUAGGUGGCAAGCGUUGUCCGGAUUUACUGGGCGUAAAGGAUGCGUAGGCGGACAUUUAAGUCAGAUGUGAAAUACCCGAGCUUAACUUGGGUGCUGCAUUUGAAACUGGGUGUCUAGAGUGCAGGAGAGGUAAGUAGAAUUCCUAGUGUAGCGGUGAAAUGCGUAGAGAUUAGGAAGAACACCAGUGGCGAAGGCGACUUACUGGACUGUAACUGACACUGAGGAACGAAAGCCAGGGGAGCAAACGGG